Sarcophilus harrisii (Tasmanian devil) is the source of this 563-nucleotide long non-coding RNA. RefSeq lists it as uncharacterized. The transcript has 3 exons. NCBI's taxonomy places the organism in Eukaryota, Metazoa, Chordata, Mammalia, Dasyuromorphia, Dasyuridae. The record is from RefSeq and is a predicted model, not a curated record.
UUCUGGGAGAACCUGGGUUCAAAUACAACUUCUGAUACCUCCUAUGCCGAAGCAAAUCACCUAAUGUUUCAACCUCAAAGAGGUUGUCUCGAUGGCUUCUGAUGUCCUUCCCCACUCUACAGCUAUGAUUCACUUCUUUCAUAUCAGUAUUCUAUGAUUCUUUACCUAGAAGCCAUCUAGGAGAAGAUCCAGGCUGAGCUAGGGGAUAUGAAGAAACUGAGAUGAGCACUCUUUCCACCACAGCUCACAGCCUCUUAAUUCUGAGAUAAGGGGAUUCUUCCCAUAAUGUUUUCCAAACAGGACUACUCACUGGCUUUUGUUAUAUCUACAGGAAUCCUUGGACCUCAGAAUAAGCAUUCCUGAUUUAGUUUCACCUCCUUUAUUCUUUAAGAUGAGGACACUGAGAUUCCUUCCAGAUCUGAAAUGGAAACUUCAAGGAUUACAGCAUUUUUUGUUUAAAUUUAAUUUUUCCCCAAAUACUCUUCUUCCCUCCACUCCACAACUAAUUGAGAAUUAUGAUUGCAAUCAUUUUGUAGUUAUAUUACAAAAUGCAAGAAAUAAAA